GACGAACGCUGGCGGCGUGCUUAACACAUGCCAGUCGAACGGAAAGGCCCUGCUUUUGUGGGGUGCUCGAGUGGCGAACGGGUGAGUAACACGUGAGUAACCUGCCCUUGACUUUGGGAUAACUUCAGGAAACUGGGGCUAAUACCGGAUAGGAGCUCCUGCUGCAUGGUGGGGGUUGGAAAGUUUCGGCGGUUGGGGAUGGACUCGCGGCUUAUCAGCUUGUUGGUGGGGUAGUGGCUUACCAAGGCUUUGACGGGUAGCCGGCCUGAGAGGGUGACCGGCAGCAGUGGGAAUGAGAGACGGACCGGAGAGCGCGGGGAGGGAGAAGGGGGGGAGCGUGCACACUGGGCGGGAGCCGUAUGCAGCACUGGCGCGUGCGGAAGGACGGACGUCGGGAUGGAAAACGGGAUCGCCGGUGAAGAAGGGGGAGUGACGGGAAUGAAUAAAGAAGCACCGGCUAACCACAGC
This 468-nucleotide ribosomal RNA is filed under the name uncultured bacterium. Its description in RNAcentral is "partial 16S ribosomal RNA". It matches the Rfam family "Bacterial small subunit ribosomal RNA", at positions 28 to 512 of the family's 1533-position model. The record is from RNAcentral.